GCGCUGAGCGCGCGGUCCGAGAGCCUUUCCCGAAGCCCCUUGCGCGGCACCUGGCGACAAAAUGGCUGCCCGAGGGAGACGGGCGGAGCCUCCGGGUCGGGAGGCGCCCGGCCCGGCGGGCGGCGGCAGGAGCCGAUGGGCUGAGUCGGGGCCAGGAACGUCACCCGAGAGCGGGGACGACGAGGUGUCGGGCUCAAGUCCGGUGUCCGGCGGUGUGAACUUGUUCGCCAACGACGGCAGCUUCCUGGAGCUGUUCAAGCGGAAGAUGGAGGAGGAGCAGCGGCAGCGGCAGGAGGAGCCACCCCCGGGCCCGCAGCGACCCGACCCAUCGGCCUCCGCCGCGGCGGGCCCAGGGAAUCCGAAGAGGAAGGGCGGCCCGGGCCCCACACUCAGCUUCGUCGGCCGGCUGGAGGAGCUGGGCGAGGCGUCGAUAGGAAGGUGUAGUGGGCCUCAGCCCCGCCAAGGGCGGGCCCGGCUCCUGUAACCCUUGCAGUCUUCUGUCCCUUCACCCAGGUGGGCAAGCGCAGAGGCGGAAACAAACUAGCCCUCAAGACGGGAAUAGUAGCCAAGAAGCAGAAGACGGAGGAUGAGGUAUUAACAAGUAAAGGUGACGCAUGGGCCAAGUACAUGGCAGAAGUGAAAAAGUACAAAGCCCACCAGUGCGGUGACGAUGAUAAAACUCGGCCCCUGGUGAAAUGACCCCCUCCUGGGUGCUCACUGCCUGGGACUCUGCAAUGUACAUAACUAUUUAAGGCGGUAAUGGCAGCGGCCUUCCUGGAGGACUGAUACACAGAAGGAAACCAAGGCGCUUCCCGUGGCCGCAGACCAUUCUCCAGGACUCUUUUUUUACCUUGAGCACUUGCCUCCUGAGACUCACUAGACCAGUGGUUUACUGUCCCCUUUCUUCCCACCACCUCGCUUUCUCUGGCUCUGUCUGUCUCUCUUGCUGUCCUUCUCCUUUUAGCAGUCACUUCUGAGAAGUAAAGAACCUGAUUUAGUGCUGGA
This is an RNA transcript of Peromyscus leucopus (white-footed mouse), 1005 nucleotides long. It is a transcript of the gene named telomerase RNA component interacting RNase, with no coding region annotated. The transcript has 3 exons. The record is from RefSeq and is a predicted model, not a curated record. NCBI's taxonomy places the organism in Eukaryota, Metazoa, Chordata, Mammalia, Rodentia, Cricetidae.